AUUGAACGCUGGCGGCAGGUUUAACACAUGCAAGUCGAGCGGUAACAGAACUAGCUUGCUAGUUGCUGACGAGCGGCGGACGGGUGAGUAACGCGUAGGAAACUGCCUGGUAGUGGGGGACAACAGUUGGAAACGACUGCUAAUACCGCAUACGCCCUACGGGGGAAAGCAGGGGAUCUUCGGACCUUGCGCUAUCAGAUGUGCCUGCGUCGGAUUAGCUAGUUGGUGGGGUAAUGGCCUACCAAGGCGACGAUCCGUAGCUGGUCUGAGAGGAUGAUCAGCCACACUGGGACUGAGACACGGCCCAG
This 308-nucleotide ribosomal RNA is filed under the name uncultured Thalassolituus sp. RNAcentral's name for it is "bacterial SSU rRNA". It matches the Rfam family "Bacterial small subunit ribosomal RNA", at positions 30 to 334 of the family's 1533-position model. Lineage: Bacteria; Pseudomonadati; Pseudomonadota; Gammaproteobacteria; Oceanospirillales; Oceanospirillaceae. The record is from RNAcentral.